CUUGCUCUCUGGGUGACGAGCGGCGGACGGGUGAGUAAUGUCUGGGAAACUGCCUGAUGGAGGGGGAUAACUACUGGAAACGGUAGCUAAUACCGCAUAACGUCUUCGGACCAAAGUGGGGGACCUUCGGGCCUCACGCCAUCAGAUGUGCCCAGAUGGGAUUAGCUAGUAGGUGGGGUAAUGGCUCACCUAGGCGACGAUCCCUAGCUGGUCUGAGAGGAUGACCAGCCACACUGGAACUGAGACACGGUCCAGACUCCUACGGGAGGCAGCAGUGGGGAAUAUUGCACAAUGGGCGCAAGCCUGAUGCAGCCAUGCCGCGUGUGUGAAGAAGGCCUUCGGGUUGUAAAGCACUUUCAGCGAGGAGGAAGGGUGGUGUGUUAAUAGCGCAUCACAUUGACGUUACUCGCAGAAGAAGCACCGGCUAACUCCGUGCCAGCAGCCGCGGUAAUACGGAGGGUGCAAGCGUUAAUCGGAAUUACUGGGCGUAAAGCGCACGCAGGCGGUUUGUUAAGUCAGAUGUGAAAUCCCCGCGCUUAACGUGGGAACUGCAUUUGAAACUGGCAAGCUAGAGUCUUGUAGAGGGGGGUAGAAUUCCAGGUGUAGCGGUGAA
Molecule: ribosomal RNA, 613 nt
Filed under: uncultured bacterium
Lineage: Bacteria
Description: bacterial SSU rRNA
Rfam family: Bacterial small subunit ribosomal RNA
Source: RNAcentral